Molecule: long non-coding RNA, 835 nt
Filed under: Anser brachyrhynchus (Pink-footed goose)
Lineage: Eukaryota; Metazoa; Chordata; Aves; Anseriformes; Anatidae
Description: lncRNA (ENSABRG00000005769.1)
Source: RNAcentral
AUGGUUGACUGAUUGUAACUAUGACUUUUGAUGAUCUAUCCACAGUGAGGCGGAGGAGUUUCUCCUUUUCUCCUCUUCUUAUGGUGAAAGACCUUAACAGCAUCUGGUAAACAGACACGUGCCCACCAUGCAGCCCUUUGGUGCCCACUGCUGUCCCCAGGGAUCCUCUCCGCAGCCCACCCGCACCACUGGCUGGCCCACAGGGGAGCGAAGCGGGAUGCCUUGUGAUGCCCUGCAUCUCCUUGUUUUCCUCUGUGUUUGUUCAGCUGCAAUCUGGGGUCCAGAAAUCAAUGAAUAAAUUGCCAUCAUCCAGUGAAUAAAACAGUCAUCUGAUACUCAUGCAGAAGAGGUAGGCAGCACAGACAGAUCGUAAACCUGUGGUACUCCCAGCUCUCUACUGUGCCAGGUGAGUAAGAAGUUGGAAAGCUGGGAGGACGCCUGUUUGCAUUUAGCUCUCAUGUGCCUCACUUUGUCACUGUCUCUCUUCUACUUUCUAAAUCCUGUUUGCUCAUGGUCCAAAAAAGACAUCUAGCCUGUAUGUCUUACUUCUAGAUAUCUCUCCUAAUCACUCAACUUAUAGAGCAAAUUCGUCCUCGUUGCAUCAAACUUUACUCCGUAUAGCCCUCUUUCAUCUCUAAUCUUCCCAGUGUGACAGGAAAAUGUUCCCCACAGCAAUGCCUUAUGAUGUCAGAUUGAGAGGCUUCUGGCUGGAUGAGCAAAAGACUAUUUAAAAGGCAAUUCUAAAUGCGCACAUUCUGACUGCAUAGUCAUCACUGGCCUCAACAAGGAAACGAAACGCCUCUGCAUGGCUUGACCUGCAAUUUCCCUUCUGUAG